This 465-nucleotide ribosomal RNA is filed under the name uncultured bacterium. Its description in RNAcentral is "partial 16S ribosomal RNA". It matches the Rfam family "Bacterial small subunit ribosomal RNA", at positions 28 to 507 of the family's 1533-position model. The record is from RNAcentral.
GACGAACGCUGGCGGCGUGCUUAACACAUGCAAGUCGAACGGAAAGGCCCCUUUGGGGGUACUCGAGUGGCGAACGGGUGAGUAACACGUGAGUAACCUGCCCUUGACUUCGGGAUAACUUCAGGAAACUGGGGCUAAUACCGGAUAGGAAUCCUUGCUGCAUGGUGGGGGUUGGAAAGCUUCGGCGGUUUUGGAUGGACUCGCGGCUUAUCAGCUUGUUGGUGGGGUAGUGGCUUACCAAGGCUUUGACGGGUAGCCGGCCUGGGAGGGCGACCGGCCACAUUGGGACUGGGAUACGGCCCAGACUCCUACGGGAGGCAGCAGUGGGGAAUAUUGCACAAUGGGCGGAAGCCUGAUGCAGCAACGCCGCGGGCGGGAUGACGGCCUUCGGGUUGUAAACCGCUUUCAGCAGGGGCGAAGCUUGUGGUGACGGUACCUGCAGAAGAAGCACCGGCUAACUACGUG